RNAcentral lists this ribosomal RNA (465 nucleotides) under Vreelandella stevensii. RNAcentral's name for it is "partial 16S ribosomal RNA". It matches the Rfam family "Bacterial small subunit ribosomal RNA", at positions 338 to 795 of the family's 1533-position model. The record is from RNAcentral. Lineage: Bacteria; Pseudomonadati; Pseudomonadota; Gammaproteobacteria; Oceanospirillales; Halomonadaceae.
CCUACGGGAGGCUGUAGUGGGGAAUAUUGGACAAUGGGGGGAACCCUGAUCCAGCCAUGCCGCGUGUGUGAAGAAGGCCCUCGGGUUGUAAAGCACUUUCAGUGAGGAAGAACGCCUGGUGGUUAAUACCCAUCAGGAAAGACAUCACUCACAGAAGAAGUACCGGCUAACUCCGUGCCAGCAGCCGCGGUAAUACGGAGGGUGCGAGCGUUAAUCGGAAUUACUGGGCGUAAAGCGCGCGUAGGUGGCUUGAUAAGCCGGUUGUGAAAGCCCCGGGCUCAACCUGGGAACGGCAUCCGGAACUGUCAAGCUAGAGUGCAGGAGAGGAAGGUAGAAUUCCCGGUGUAGCGGUGAAAUGCGUAGAGAUCGGGAGGAAUACCAGUGGCGAAGGCGGCCUUCUGGACUGACACUGACACUGAGGUGCGAAAGCGUGGGUAGCAAACAGGAUUAGAUACCCCUGUAGUC